AGAGUUUGAUCAUGGCUCAGGAUUAACGCUAGCGGCAGGCCUAAUACAUGCAAGUCGAACGGUAAAUAGGUAGCAAUAUCUAUGAGAGNGGCGCACGGGUGAGUAACGCGUAUGCAACCUACCUUUAACUGGGGGAUAGCUUCGAGAAAUCGAAAUUAAUACCCCAUAACAUUAUUGAAUGGCAUCAUUUAAUAAUCAAAACUCCGGUGGUUAAAGAUGGGCAUGCGUGACAUUAGCUAGUUGGUAAGGUAACGGCUUACCAAGGCUACGAUGUCUAGGGGGUCUGAGAGGAUGAUCCCCCACACUGGUACUGAGACACGGACCAGACUCCUACGGGAGGCAGCAGUAAGGAAUAUUGGUCAAUGGAGGCAACUCUGAACCAGCCAUGCCGCGUGCAGGAUGAAGGCCCUAUGGGUCGUAAACUGCUUUUGUACGGGAAGAAACCCCUUUACGUGUAAAGGGUUGACGGUACCGUAAGAAUAAGGAUCGGCUAACUUCGUGCCAGCAGCCGCGGUAAUACGAAGGAUCCAAGCGUUAUCCGGAUUUAUUGGGUUUAAAGGGUGCGUAGGCGGCUUAUUAAGUCAGUGGUGAAAGCCUGCAGCUUAACUGCAGAACUGCCAUUGAUACUGAUGAGCUUGAGUACAGUUGAGGUGGACGGAAUGUGUCAUGUAGCGGUGAAAUGCUUAGAUAUGACACAGAACACCGAUUGCGAAGGCAGCUCGCUAAACUGUAACUGACGCUGAGGCACGAAAGCGUGGGGAGCGAACAGGAUUAGAUACCCCAGUAGUCC
RNAcentral lists this ribosomal RNA (790 nucleotides) under uncultured Bacteroidota bacterium. RNAcentral's name for it is "bacterial SSU rRNA". It matches the Rfam family "Bacterial small subunit ribosomal RNA", at positions 8 to 796 of the family's 1533-position model. The record is from RNAcentral. Lineage: Bacteria; Pseudomonadati; Bacteroidota.